CUUAAAAUCAUUUGAUUUUGGUGUUGACAUUGGGGGAGAAAAAGUAUGUAUUUUAUUGUAUGCUGAUGAUAUCGUACUGUUAGCAAAUACUGAGAAUGAGUUACAAAACCUCUUAGAUGAGUUAUAUCAUUGGUGUACUGACAAUAAAAUGACUAUUAAUUCAUGUAAGAGUAAUGUUGUCCAUUUCAGACCGACCUCAUUUGAACGAUCAAGUCACGUCUUUAAGUGUGGGGAUAUGAAUAUUGCUACUAGCAGCGAAUAUGCUUAUCUAGGCCUUGUUUUAAAUGAGUUUCUAGACUUUAGUAUUACUGCAAAAGCAGUUGCUAGGUCAGCAAACAGAGCUCUAGGUCUGGUUAUAGCUAAGUGUAAAGCUAUUGGUGGCAUGUCAUAUGACGUCUAUAAAAAACUAUUUGAUGCACUUGUAAGUCCUAUUGUUGAAUAUGGUGCCGCGAUUUGGGGAUGCAAGAAUUUCUCAUUUAUUAAUGCGAUUCAAAUGAGAGCGUGUAGGUUCUUCCUUGGUGUUGGUAAAUAUACACCUAAUCCAGCUAUUAUGGGAGACAUGGGGUGGAUUCCAAUUUACCAUACUCAAUGGAAAGUAAUUGCAAGACACUGGCACAGAUUAGUAAAUAUGGAGCCAGAUCGUAUUAAUAGGAAAAUAUUCAUAUGGGCAGAUGAGGUCAGUCUGAAACAUAGAAUUGUGAAAAAUUGGAAUUUCAUUGUUAAAAAACAUUUCACGGAACUUGAAUUGGUUGACUUUUGUAAUACAAACACUAAUAUUAAUAAAAAUAUGUUUAUUGAUACAGUCAUGUCAAGAAUGUUUGAUAUUUAUAUUGAAGAAUGGAAAAGUAUUGUUAGUUCAUCCUCUUCCAGACGGGGAAAUGGGCGGAAUAAAUUGAGAACCUAUAAUAUUUUUAAGCAGGAGUAUGUUGUAGAAAACUACUGCAAACUGUUAAUGCCUUUUUGUGAAAGAAGCGCCUUUGCAAAAUUUAGAUGUGGGGUGGCUCCUAUUAGACUGGAAACUGGGAGGUAUGAAAAUUUGCCGCUGGAAGAGAGAUGUUGUUUUAAUUGUUUUAAUACUGUCGAAGAUGAAUAUCAUGUUAUUUUACAUUGUCCUGUUUAUAAUGAUCUUAGACAAGUUCUUUUUACUGAGUCUCUUAAAAUUGAUGAACAUUUUAAUAGUUUUACAGAUUGUC
This 1193-nucleotide long non-coding RNA is filed under the name Mytilus galloprovincialis (Mediterranean mussel). Lineage: Eukaryota; Metazoa; Mollusca; Bivalvia; Mytilida; Mytilidae. The record is from RNAcentral.